CACGCGUUGGGAGCUCUCCCAUAUGGUCGACCUGCAGGCGGCCGCGAAUUCACUAGUGAUUUGUUUGAUCCUGGCUCAGGAUGAACGCUGGCGGCGUGCUUAACACAUGCAAGUCGAGCGGAAAUAUGCAAUCGGAGAGCUUCGGCAGGAAGAUUACAUAUUUUAGCGGCGGACGGGUGAGUAACGUGUGGGCAACCUGCCCUGUACUGUGGAAUAAUCACUGGAAACGGUGACUAAUACCGCAUGUCAUUGCGAGAGGGCAUCCUCUUGCAAGAAAAGGAUUUAUUCGGUACAGGAUGGGCCCGCAUCUGAUUAGCUAGUUGGUGAGAUAACAGCCCACCAAGGCAACGAUCAGUAGCCGACCUGAGAGGGUGAUCGGCCACAUUGGGACUGAGACACGGCCCAAACUCCUACGGGAGGCAGCAGUGGGGAAUAUUGCACAAUGGGCGAAAGCCUGAUGCAGCAACGCCGCGUGAAGGAAGAAGGGUUUCGGCUCGUAAACUUCUAUCAACAGGGACGAAAAAAAUGACGGUACCUGAAUAAGAAGCCCCGGCUAACUACGUGCCAGCAGCCGCGGUAAUACGUAGGGGGCAAGCGUUAUCCGGAAUUACUGGGUGUAAAGGGAGAGUAGGCGGCAUGGUAAGUUAGAUGUGAAAGCCCGAGGCUUAACCUCGGGAUUGCAUUUAAAACUAUCAAGCUAGAGUACAGGAGAGGUAAGUGGGAAUUCCUAGUGU
Molecule: ribosomal RNA, 734 nt
Filed under: Anaerotignum neopropionicum DSM 3847
Lineage: Bacteria; Bacillati; Bacillota; Clostridia; Lachnospirales; Anaerotignaceae
Description: bacterial SSU rRNA
Rfam family: Bacterial small subunit ribosomal RNA
Source: RNAcentral